GUCCUUGCAGCGCAAUGGAUAGCGCAUUGGACUUCUAAUCCAAAGGUCGUAGGUUCGCAUCCCACCUGGGAUG
This is a non-coding RNA of Trichonephila inaurata madagascariensis, 73 nucleotides long. The record is from the annotation of a GenBank genome assembly. NCBI's taxonomy places the organism in Eukaryota, Metazoa, Arthropoda, Arachnida, Araneae, Nephilidae.